GGGGAUGUAUCUCAGUGGCAGAGGUCUUGCCUUGCAUGCAUGAGGUCCUAGGUUUGAUCCCUAGCACCAUAA
RNAcentral lists this transfer RNA (72 nucleotides) under Marmota monax (woodchuck). RNAcentral describes it as "tRNA.Ala". It matches the Rfam family "tRNA". Rfam says of the family: Transfer RNA (tRNA) molecules are approximately 80 nucleotides in length. The record is from RNAcentral. Lineage: Eukaryota; Metazoa; Chordata; Mammalia; Rodentia; Sciuridae.